UACGGGGGGAGCAAGCGUUGUUCGGAUUUACUGGGCGUAAAGGGCGCGUAGGCGGUCAGCACAAGUCAGUUGUGAAAUCUCCGGGCUUAACUCGGAAAGGUCAACUGAUACUGUGCGACUAGAGUGCGGAAGGGGCAACUGGAAUUCUCGGUGUAGCGGUGAAAUGCGUAGAGAUCGGGAGGAACACCGGUGGCGAAGGCGGGUCUCUGGGCAUUUCCUGACGCUGAGGCGCGAAAGCGUGGGGAGCAAACGGG
This 254-nucleotide ribosomal RNA is filed under the name uncultured bacterium. RNAcentral describes it as "partial 16S ribosomal RNA". It matches the Rfam family "Bacterial small subunit ribosomal RNA", at positions 524 to 776 of the family's 1533-position model. The record is from RNAcentral.